UAAGGAAUAUUGGUCAAUGGACGCAAGUCUGAACCAGCCAUGCCGCGUGGAGGAUUAAGGCCCUCUGGGUUGUAAACUCCUUUUAUCUGGGAAGAAAUGUACUUUUUCUUGAGUACUUGACGGUACCUGAGGAAUAAGCACCGGCUAACUCCGUGCCAGCAGCCGCGGUAAUACGGAGGGUGCAAGCGUUAUCCGGAUUCACUGGGUUUAAAGGGUGCGUAGGUGGGCAGGUAAGUCAGUGGUGAAAUCUCCGAGCUUAACUUGGAAACUGCCGUUGAUACUAUAGGUCUUGAAUUAUCUGGAGGUAAGCGGAAUAUGUCAUGUAGCGGUGAAAUGCUUAGAUAUGACAUAGAACACCAAUUGCGAAGGCAGCUUACUACAUAUAAAUUGACGCUGAGGCACGAAAGCGUGGGGAUCAAACA
Molecule: ribosomal RNA, 422 nt
Filed under: uncultured bacterium
Lineage: Bacteria
Description: bacterial SSU rRNA
Rfam family: Bacterial small subunit ribosomal RNA
Source: RNAcentral